GUAAAGAAGAAAAUACGGCACACUACUAUAUAUUUGGGACACUACUGCUACAUUUUCCUUUGACUAAGAAACUUGAAUUGAAUCUUGAUCACUUAACAUAAACUAUGUGAAGCAAUUAUAUGAUGAUGAUGAACAUGAGAUUAGGGGAACUCUUGUGCUCAAGCGUGCCAAUCCUGGGGUGGUUAAUGGAUUCAAUAGCUGAACUAUUUGCCGCUACUUCGGGCAAGAAGAACCUAUUGAACACUCUGGAAGCUGAUGAAGGUGAUGUUCCAACUGCAGCUAAUGUAGCAGCACAGAAGCAUUUUCGACAAAGUCAACUCAUGCUCAAAAUCUAAUGAUCUGGGUCGUCUUAUGUGCGACCAUUACUGUAAUUAAGUACUUGCUUAUAGCUUUUGAUUAGCUUGAAUCCUCAGAGACUUGUGACUUGUGAGCGAGUUUUGUGUAACUAGUUAAAAGUGAAACUAUUUUGUAAUGGCUAGAGCUUGUGAAGCUAAGUGUAACCCCAUGCUCAUACUACUAGCUAGCUUGUUCUGAUUUGUUUUUGUUUGACAUCAUACUUCUUCUAUGAAUUCCCUUUGCUCCAAACAUUGAAUAAUGGAUCAAAGGAAUGUAUACACCAAGAUUACUAGGAUAAGUGGAUUGUAGUAUUGGACUAAUCCAAUAAUGAAUGUAUAAUUAAUAGAGUAAUACUUUAAUAAUUACUACCCUGAC
RNAcentral lists this long non-coding RNA (711 nucleotides) under Arachis ipaensis. Its description in RNAcentral is "long non-coding RNA (AIPA_LNC000771)". Lineage: Eukaryota; Viridiplantae; Streptophyta; Magnoliopsida; Fabales; Fabaceae. The record is from RNAcentral.